GAAAAGAAGAUGUGAUGAGCUGACUGAAAAAGCAGAAAGCAAAUGAAUGUCUGUUUGGACUCUCAUUCUGACGGCACCCAUUUACUGCAGAGGAUCCAUUGGUGAGACACUGAUGGAAUGACACAUUUCUACAAAUCUGAUGAGGGAACAGACUCAUCUUGGAUGGCCUGAGAUUUAAUAAAAUGAACCAACACUUGGCCUCUUGACAGUCAGCGCACUUUGGAAUGAAGGAGUGUCUGAUGCGCCUCAUCUUCACACAGCUUCACAAAGAUUUGCUUGUUUACUGGACAGGCUUUAGUAAAGUUGACAAUCUUUACAACUUUCUUGAGUGUUUCGUUCAUCAGAGAAGUGUUUGCAGGCCAGGGCUUGAUAUCUUCUCUUUGUGUUGUUGUAGUCAAAUUAGGUGACAAAAGUAGGUCCUGCAUC
Labeo rohita (rohu) is the source of this 426-nucleotide long non-coding RNA. RefSeq lists it as uncharacterized. The record is from RefSeq and is a predicted model, not a curated record. The transcript is spliced from 3 exons. NCBI's taxonomy places the organism in Eukaryota, Metazoa, Chordata, Actinopteri, Cypriniformes, Cyprinidae.